Molecule: ribosomal RNA, 433 nt
Filed under: uncultured bacterium
Lineage: Bacteria
Description: partial 16S ribosomal RNA
Rfam family: Bacterial small subunit ribosomal RNA
Source: RNAcentral
AACGAACGCUGGCGGCAUGCCUAACACAUGCAAGUCGAACGAGACCUUCGUAUCUGCUGGCGCACGGGGGCGUAACGCGGGGGAAGGUGCCGGUAGGUUCGGAAUAACUCUCCGAAGUGGGUGCUAAUGCCGGGAAAUUUCUGCGAACCAAAGAUUUAUCGACUUUGUAUGAGCACGCGUUGUUUUCACUAGGUGGUAGGGUAAAAGCCGACCAAGGCGACGAUCCAUAGCUGGUCUGAGAGGAUGAUCAGCCACACUGGGAGUGAGCCACGGUGCAGACUCCUACGCGAGGCAGCAGUGGCGAAUACUGGCAAACCGGGGAAAGCAUGAUCCAGUACUGCCGCGUGAGUGCUGAAGUUCUUAGGGUUGUACAGCACUUUUACCCGCCAUGAUACUGACAGUACCCGGAGAAUAAGCUCCGGCUAACUUCGUG